This 394-nucleotide ribosomal RNA is filed under the name uncultured bacterium. Its description in RNAcentral is "partial 16S ribosomal RNA". It matches the Rfam family "Bacterial small subunit ribosomal RNA", at positions 523 to 918 of the family's 1533-position model. The record is from RNAcentral.
AUACGUAGGGUGCAAGCGUUAAUCGGAAUUACUGGGCGUAAAGCGUGCGCAGGCGGUUUUGAAGACAGAGGGGAAAUCCCCGGGCUCAACCUGGGAACUGCCUUUGUGACUGCAAGGCUAGAGUACGGCAGAGGGGGAUGGAAUUCCGCGUGUAACAGGGAAAUGCGUAGAUAUGCGGAGGAACACCGAUGGCGAAGGCAAUCCCCUGGGCCUGUACUGACGCUCAUGCACGAAAGCGUGGGGAGCAAACAGGAUUAGAUACCCUGGUAGUCCACGCCCUAAACGAUGUCAACUGGUUGUUGGGUCUUCAUUGACUCAGUAACGAAGCUAACGCGUGAAGUUGACCGCCUGGGGAGUACGGCUGCAAGGUUGAAACUCAAAUGAAUUGGCGGGG